AAUCAACGCUGGCGGCGUGCCUAACACAUGCAAGUCGAACGCGACUUGGGCUUCGGUCCAAGUUGAGUGGCGAACGGGUGAGUAACACGUGGGUGACCUACCUUCGAGUGGGGGAUAACGUCCCGAAAGGGACGCUAAUACCGCAUAACAUCCUGCCUUUGAACAGGUGGAGAUCAAAGCCGGGGAUCGCAAGACCUGGCGCUUGAUGAGGGGCCCGCGCCUGAUUAGCUAGUUGGUGAGGUAAUGGCUCACCAAGGCGACGAUCAGUAUCCGGCCUGAGAGGGCGGACGGACACACUGGGACUGAGACACGGCCCAGACACCUACGGGUGGCUG
RNAcentral lists this ribosomal RNA (335 nucleotides) under uncultured Acidobacteriota bacterium. Its description in RNAcentral is "bacterial SSU rRNA". It matches the Rfam family "Bacterial small subunit ribosomal RNA", at positions 32 to 351 of the family's 1533-position model. The record is from RNAcentral. Lineage: Bacteria; Pseudomonadati; Acidobacteriota.